AGUCACUGACAUUAGAUACCCGUGUAGUCCAGGGUGUAAACGCUGCAGACUUGGUGUUGGGAACCCGUUCGGGGGUGCUCAGUGCCGGAGAGAAGUUGUUAAGUCUGCUACUUGGGGAGUACGUCCGCAAAGGAUGAAAACUUAAAGGAAUUGGGCGGGGGGAGCACCGCAACGGGAGGAGCGUGCGGUUUAAUUGGAUUCAACGACCGAAAAACUCACCAGCAGCGACUGUUACAUGAAAGUCAGGUUGAUGACCUUACUAGAUUUUCAG
This 271-nucleotide ribosomal RNA is filed under the name uncultured archaeon. RNAcentral describes it as "partial 16S ribosomal RNA". It matches the Rfam family "Archaeal small subunit ribosomal RNA", at positions 717 to 982 of the family's 1478-position model. The record is from RNAcentral.